UACGGGGGGAGCAAGCGUUGUUCGGAUUUACUGGGCGUAAAGGGCGCGUAGGCGGCCUUCUAAGUCGAACGUGAAAUCCCCGGGCUCAACCCGGGAACUGCGUCCGAUACUGGAAGGCUUGAAUCCGGGAGAGGGAUGCGGAAUUCCAGGUGUAGCGGUGAAAUGCGUAGAUAUCCGGAGGAACACCAGUGGCGAAGGCGGCUGGCUGGACCUGACCUGACGCUGAGGCGCGAAGGCGUGGGGAGCGAACGGG
This 253-nucleotide ribosomal RNA is filed under the name uncultured bacterium. RNAcentral's name for it is "partial 16S ribosomal RNA". It matches the Rfam family "Bacterial small subunit ribosomal RNA", at positions 524 to 776 of the family's 1533-position model. The record is from RNAcentral.